ACCCGUUGAUCCUGCGGGGGGUUGCUGCUAUUCGAAUUCCACUUAGCCAUGCAAGUCAGGUGACCUUCGGGUAAACUGGCUGAAUGCUCAGUAACACGUUGAUAAUCUAACCUAUGAUUUUACUAAGCCUCGGGAAACUGAGGGAUGUCGUUCGAUAGAAGAUUGAGGCUGGAAUGCACUUUCUUUGAACAUAGGAUGAGUCAGCGGCCGAUUAGGUUGUUGGUGGGGUAAUGGCCCACCAAGCCGACGAUCGGUAGGGGCCCUGAGAGGGGUAGCCUCGAGAAGGACACUGAGAAAAGGGUCCUAGCCCUACGGGGCAGCAGGCGGGAAACCUUUACAAUGCGCGCAAGCGUGAUAAGGGGAUUCGAAGUGCUUACGCUUCUGGCGUAGGCUUUUGCCAAGAUUAAAUCUCUUGGCGAAUAAGUGAUGGGAAAGACCGGUGCCAGCAGCCGCGGUAAUACCGGCGUCACGAGUGGCAACCGCAUUUACUUGGCCUAAAGCGUCUGUAGCAGGUUUGUUAAGUCUUAUGUGAAAUCGAGGUCCUCAAUACCUCGGCGUGCAUGAGAUACUGGCGAACUAGGGACCGGGAGGCGUAGAGGGUAUUUCAGGGUUAGCGGUAAAAUGUUUUGAUCCCUGAAGGACCGCCGAUGGCGAAGGCACUCUACGAGAACGGAUCCGACUGUGAGAGACGAAAGCUGGGGGAGCAAAACGGAUUAGAUACCCGCGUAGUCCCAGCCGUAAACGCUGUGCGUUGGGCGUUGCUGAAACUACGUGUUUCAGCAGUGUCGUAGCGAAGGCGAUAAACGCACCGCCUGGGAAGUACGGUCGCAAGACUGAAACUUAAAGGAAUUGGCGGGGGAGCACUACAAGGAGUGCUUCGUGCGGUUUAAUCGGAUUCCACACCGUGAAUCUUACUAGAAUCGCUGGCAGUAUGAUGGCCCAGCUGAAGACUGUGCCGGACGAGCCCAGAGGUGUUGCAUGGCCGCCGUCAGCUCGUGCUGUGAAGUGUCCUGUUAAGUCAGGUAACGAGCAAGACCCAUACCUACAAUUGCUACCAGAUACUCCGGUAUGACUGAGCACGUUGUAGGGACUGCCUUAGAAAUAAGGAGGAAGGUGUGGGCAACGGUAGGUCUGUAUGACCCUAAUAUUCUAGGCUACACGCGCGAUGCAAUGAUGAAGACAAUGGGACGCAACUCCGAAAGGAGAAGCUAAACCUUCAAACUUCAUCUUAGUACAGAUCGAGGACUGUAACUCGUCCUCGUGAAGCCGGAAUUCCUAGUAAUCGGACAUUAUCAGUGUCCGGUGAAUAUGUCCCUGCUCUUUGCACACACUGCCCGUCAAACCACCCGAGCAGGGCUUGGGUGAAGCGUAGUUUGUUGAUUACGUUGAAUCCAAGUUCAGUGAGGUGGGUUAAGUCGUCACAAGGUA
RNAcentral lists this ribosomal RNA (1428 nucleotides) under metagenome. Its description in RNAcentral is "bacterial SSU rRNA". It matches the Rfam family "Archaeal small subunit ribosomal RNA". The record is from RNAcentral.